Molecule: long non-coding RNA, 478 nt
Organism: Rhincodon typus (whale shark)
Lineage: Eukaryota; Metazoa; Chordata; Chondrichthyes; Orectolobiformes; Rhincodontidae
Exons: 3
Source: RefSeq, a predicted model, not a curated record
ACGAGCUGGGAUGGCCGAUCAGCAGAUGGUGAGGCGAGAGGCGGAGAGUCGAGGCCGAGAACCUCAUGACGGAGCCGGAGAGAGAGCCCGACUGCCCCUUGACGGAGCCGGAGAGAGAGCCCGACUGCCCCUUGACGGAGCCGGAGAGAGAGCACUCUGACGGAGCUGCUGAGGAGGCCGCAGUAAAGAACUGACCAGCCAUGUCCGCUAAAGCCAUAUCUGAGCAGACGGGUAAAGAAUUUCUUUACAAGUAUAUCUCCACGAAGGGUGCAGUCCAGAACAAGUUCAGAUAUGCCAGAUUGAGACCUGACACUGACUGGGACCUCCUAGUCCAAGAGCAUCCUUGGCUUCUGACAGAGCGUUUGGUGGUGAAGCCAGAUCAGCUGAUUAAACGUCGUGGGAAACUGGGCUUGAUUGGAGUUAAUCUGGAUUUGAAUGGGGUAAAGGAAUGGUUAAAGCCACGUUUGGGAUUGGAAAC